GGCAGAUAAUCAAAGGUUUCAUUAAAUGGGAUGCAAAUUUGGACAAUUGUUUGUGGACGAAAUUUGAGAGUUGGGAUUGUCAUAGCUUUCGUAUCUUGCCUUUUGUCAUUUCUUUUUUAACUGCAAAUAGAAAUUGCAUUGCAUGGCCCAUUGGACAGGAACAUUAUAAUAUGACUAUACAAAUUAUCAAAUCCUAACCAAUGAUGGAAGCCCAAAUAAACAAGCCCAGCCCCUAAAUAAACAACCCUAGUUGAAACAAACUGAUAAACCUUGAGCAUCUAUCAACACAGCCGCUGCCGAUCAUAACUGGGCAAGAGAAGCUCACUGGAAGCCAUUUUAGGGAAAUCCUUCCUCCAUAAAAAAUAAGAAAGCAGCCAAAGCAAGGAAAAAUCACCCCACAACCAAGCAAGCAUACCAUCCACAGGCUCAGGGCCAUGGCAGUCUCAUUCUCAUCUAGCCAUGGAAAGCUAGCAAACAACAUUAACGCCGACUCUUCCAUCCCCAAAUAGUCUUUCACCGAAUCUCUCCCAAAGUCAAUGAAAAUCAUCAAGAAGGGGACCACUCAAAACACAAGAAGCACCAACACUAAACAUAACUUCAAACUCACUGCUUUCACUGGCAGAUUUCCUCCAUAAGACCUUCAAUAACAGAAUCAUAUCUACACAACCAACCACCAAAAUCUAGAACUAUACAUUCCAGAUCAGAGAGGGGAGGGAACCUGACCUAGUCAGAGAGGCACCAUCCCCUACUCGAAGGCAGGGGAGCCACUGAAAAAUCACUUUGCUGAACUGAGAAAAACAGAGAAGAAAGACAAGGUUUCUUUAAGAGGAUUAUCUCUCUAAAAAAUUAAAGAGAGGAGUUAGCUGAAUCUUCCUGUCAUGUCAAUGUCGGAUAAAUAUAAAAUAAUUCUUAAUAAAUCACAACACGUGAAUUAUAAAUAUAAGAUUCAAUUAUUAUCCUAAUAAAAAUUUUAGAUAAAUAAAUUCUUACAGAUUUAAAAAGUGUAUUUGACGUGAAAUUUAAUUGAACAUGAUAAUAAUUGU
Molecule: unclassified non-coding RNA, 1043 nt
Filed under: Hevea brasiliensis (rubber tree)
Lineage: Eukaryota; Viridiplantae; Streptophyta; Magnoliopsida; Malpighiales; Euphorbiaceae
Source: RNAcentral